RNAcentral lists this transfer RNA (63 nucleotides) under Riptortus pedestris. Its description in RNAcentral is "tRNA-Cys". Lineage: Eukaryota; Metazoa; Arthropoda; Insecta; Hemiptera; Alydidae. The record is from RNAcentral.
GGCUUUAUAUUCUAAUUUAGGAUUUUAGAUUGCAAGUCUAAAGGUGUAAAUUUACUAAAGUCU